CGUAUGGGGCAAGCGUUGUCCGGAUUUACUGGGCCUAAAGGGCGCGUAGCCGGUUUGUUAAGUCGAAGGUGAAAUCCUCGGGCUCAACUCGAGAAUUGCCUUCGAUACUGGCAAACUAGAGUGCCGGAGAGGAAAGCGGAACUCUUGGUGUAACGGUGGAAUGUGUAGAUAUCAAGAGGAACACCGGUGGCGAAGGCGGCUUUCUGGACGCACACUGACGCUCAGGCGCGAAAGCGUGGGUAGCAAACAGGAUUAGAUACCCUGGUAGUCCACGCCAUAAACGAUGGGUACUAGGUGUCGGGGGUAUCGACCCCUCCGGUGCCGCAGUUAACGCACUAAGUACCCCGCCUGGGGAUUAUGGUCGCAAGGCUGAAACUCAAAGGAAUUGACGGGGCCCCGCACAAGCGGUGGAGCAUGUGGUUUAAUUCGACGCAACGCGAAGAACCUUACCUGGGCUUGACAUGCUUGGGGCAGCGCUGGAAACAGCGUCUCUCCUUCGGGAGCCCUUGCACAGGUGCUGCAUGGCUGUCGUCAGCUCGUGUCGUGAGAUGUUGGGUUAAGUCCCGCAACGAGCGCAACCCUCGUUACUAGUUGCCAUCAGUUCGGCUGGGCACUCUAGUGAGACUGCCGGUGAUAAACCGGAGGAAGGUGAGGAUGAUGUCAAGUCAUCAUGGCCCUUACGCCCAGGGCUACACACGUGCUACAAUGGUCGGCACAAAGGGUCGCUAAGCCGCGAGGUGGAGCUAAUCCCAAAAAGCCGGCCUCAGUUCGGAUUGGAGUCUGCAACCCGACUCCAUGAAGGCGGAAUCGCUAGUAAUCGCGGAUCAGCAUGCCGCGGUGAAUAUGUUCCCGGGGCUUGUACACACCGCCCGUCAUAUCACCCGAGUCGGGGAUACCCGAAGUCCGUGACCCAACCAUUUGGAGGGAGCGGCCGAAGGUGUGCCUG
RNAcentral lists this ribosomal RNA (946 nucleotides) under uncultured organism. Its description in RNAcentral is "bacterial SSU rRNA". It matches the Rfam family "Bacterial small subunit ribosomal RNA", at positions 526 to 1470 of the family's 1533-position model. The record is from RNAcentral.